RNAcentral lists this ribosomal RNA (253 nucleotides) under uncultured bacterium. RNAcentral's name for it is "partial 16S ribosomal RNA". It matches the Rfam family "Bacterial small subunit ribosomal RNA", at positions 524 to 776 of the family's 1533-position model. The record is from RNAcentral.
UACAGAGGGUGCGAGCGUUAAUCGGAAUUAUUGGGCGUAAAGGGCGCGCAGGCGGUUUCGUAAGUGAGAUGUGAAAUACCCGGGCUUAACCUGGGACGUGCAUUUCAGACUGCGGAGCUGGAGUACUGUAGAGGGCAGUGGAAUUUCCGGUGUAGCGGUGAAAUGCGUAGAGAUCGGAAGGAACACCAGUGGCGAAGGCGACUGUCUGGACAGAUACUGACGCUGAGGCGCGAGAGCGUGGGGAGCAAACAGG